RNAcentral lists this non-coding RNA (20 nucleotides) under Arabidopsis thaliana (thale cress). Lineage: Eukaryota; Viridiplantae; Streptophyta; Magnoliopsida; Brassicales; Brassicaceae. The record is from RNAcentral.
AUGGAUGUCUGAGCGGUUGA